RNAcentral lists this ribosomal RNA (1581 nucleotides) under Escherichia coli. RNAcentral describes it as "partial 23S ribosomal RNA". It matches the Rfam family "Bacterial large subunit ribosomal RNA", at positions 154 to 1775 of the family's 2925-position model. The record is from RNAcentral. Lineage: Bacteria; Pseudomonadati; Pseudomonadota; Gammaproteobacteria; Enterobacterales; Enterobacteriaceae.
UUAACUGAAUCCAUAGGUUAAUGAGGCGAACCGGGGGAACUGAAACAUCUAAGUACCCCGAGGAAAAGAAAUCAACCGAGAUUCCCCCAGUAGCGGCGAGCGAACGGGGAGCAGCCCAGAGCCUGAAUCAGUAUGUGUGUUAGUGGAAGCGUCUGGAAAGGCGCGCGAUACAGGGUGACAGCCCCGUACACAAAAAUGCACAUGCUGUGAGCUCGAUGAGUAGGGCGGGACACGUGGUAUCCUGUCUGAAUAUGGGGGGACCAUCCUCCAAGGCUAAAUACUCCUGACUGACCGAUAGUGAACCAGUACCGUGAGGGAAAGGCGAAAAGAACCCCGGCGAGGGGAGUGAAAAAGAACCUGAAACCGUGUACGUACAAGCAGUGGGAGCACGCUUAGGCGUGUGACUGCGUACCUUUUGUAUAAUGGGUCAGCGACUUAUAUUCUGUAGCAAGGUUAACCGAAUAGGGGAGCCGAAGGGAAACCGAGUCUUAACUGGGCGUUAAGUUGCAGGGUAUAGACCCGAAACCCGGUGAUCUAGCCAUGGGCAGGUUGAAGGUUGGGUAACACUAACUGGAGGACCGAACCGACUAAUGUUGAAAAAUUAGCGGAUGACUUGUGGCUGGGGGUGAAAGGCCAAUCAAACCGGGAGAUAGCUGGUUCUCCCCGAAAGCUAUUUAGGUAGCGCCUCGUGAAUUCAUCUCCGGGGGUAGAGCACUGUUUCGGCAAGGGGGUCAUCCCGACUUACCAACCCGAUGCAAACUGCGAAUACCGGAGAAUGUUAUCACGGGAGACACACGGCGGGUGCUAACGUCCGUCGUGAAGAGGGAAACAACCCAGACCGCCAGCUAAGGUCCCAAAGUCAUGGUUAAGUGGGAAACGAUGUGGGAAGGCCCAGACAGCCAGGAUGUUGGCUUAGAAGCAGCCAUCAUUUAAAGAAAGCGUAAUAGCUCACUGGUCGAGUCGGCCUGCGCGGAAGAUGUAACGGGGCUAAACCAUGCACCGAAGCUGCGGCAGCGACGCUGAUGCGUUGUUGGGUAGGGGAGCGUUCUGUAAGCCUGCGAAGGUGUGCUGUGAGGCAUGCUGGAGGUAUCAGAAGUGCGAAUGCUGACAUAAGUAACGAUAAAGCGGGUGAAAAGCCCGCUCGCCGGAAGACCAAGGGUUCCUGUCCAACGUUAAUCGGGGCAGGGUGAGUCGACCCCUAAGGCGAGGCCGAAAGGCGUAGUCGAUGGGAAACAGGUUAAUAUUCCUGUACUUGGUGUUACUGCGAAGGGGGGACGGAGAAGGCUAUGUUGGCCGGGCGACGGUUGUCCCGGUUUAAGCGUGUAGGCUGGUUUUCCAGGCAAAUCCGGAAAAUCAAGGCUGAGGCGUGAUGACGAGGCACUGCGGUGCUGAAGCAACAAAUGCCCUGCUUCCAGGAAAAGCCUCUAAGCAUCAGGUAACAUCAAAUCGUACCCCAAACCGACACAGGUGGUCAGGUAGAGAAUACCAAGGCGCUUGAGAGAACUCGGGUGAAGGAACUAGGCAAAAUGGUGCCGUAACUUCGGGAGAAGGCACGCUGAUAUGUAGGUGAAGUCCCUCGCG